Molecule: transfer RNA, 75 nt
Filed under: Camelus bactrianus (Bactrian camel)
Lineage: Eukaryota; Metazoa; Chordata; Mammalia; Artiodactyla; Camelidae
Also listed under: 2 other names
Rfam family: tRNA
About the family: Transfer RNA (tRNA) molecules are approximately 80 nucleotides in length.
Source: Rfam by way of RNAcentral
GUGGGUAUAACUCAGUGGUAGAGUGCAUGCCUAGCAUGUAUGAGGUCCUCCUGGGUUCAAUUCCCAGUACCUCUG